UUUAUCUCCAAAUACAGUUAUAUUCUGAGGUAUUGGAUUGGGGUUAGGACUUCAAUUUAUGAAUUCUGGGGGGACACAAUUCAGCCCAUAAUACUUGUACAGACACUUCAGGAAAGAGUUAUAAAUAGUUAAUAAGAGCAGGAAAAACAAAAUACGGCAGAGUGAAACUCAUUAGAGAGUCAUGGGGCCAUGAGCUGAGUGCGUCAUGUCACUCCAGCCCCAUGUCCCUUGGGAAGAUCAGAGACUAGGGUCAGAAGCAACCUUAACAAGGCUCUCUUUGAGUUGCAAGGAGGUGAAUUCCCAGAAAACAGAGCUGCUUGAGGUCAGACGGGGCAGGGGAUGCUGCAGACCCCACCCCUGGGGAGGAGUUCAGGGGAAGUCUCCUAAGUGAGAGCUUGGAACGGAUUCAGUGAAAUGAGCUCAACAGCUAAGGUUAGGUACCCCACAUGGGGUCCUCAUAACUGCUGUCCUCCAUCCUCUUUAGAAAGAGACAAGAACAAAGAAAAAUGAAAAGAUGAUCAACACCAUCAGGCACUAAAGAGAUGCAGAUUAAAACCACAAUAAAACAUCACUACACAUUCGUAUGAAUGACUAAAAUUAAAAAUAUUGAGAAUACCAAUUGUAGAGCAAAUAUAGUUCUCAUAUACUGCUGAUAUAAUUAUAAAAUGGUAAAUCACUUUGAAAAACUGGCAAUUUCUUAAAGUUAAAUAUACAUCUACCAAUGAACCUACUAAUUCCAUUCAAAGCUGUUUACCCAUUGGAAAUGAACAUAUAUGUCCUUAUGAAGAUUUUUACAUAGCAACUUUAU
This 808-nucleotide long non-coding RNA is filed under the name Homo sapiens (human). RNAcentral describes it as "HSALNT0079946". The stretch from base 159 to 480 matches the Rfam family "Nuclear RNase P". Lineage: Eukaryota; Metazoa; Chordata; Mammalia; Primates; Hominidae. The record is from RNAcentral.